RNAcentral lists this ribosomal RNA (655 nucleotides) under uncultured bacterium. RNAcentral's name for it is "bacterial SSU rRNA". It matches the Rfam family "Bacterial small subunit ribosomal RNA", at positions 269 to 916 of the family's 1533-position model. The record is from RNAcentral.
CAAGGCAACGAUCCGUAACCGGCUUGAGAGGGCGGUCGGUCACACUGACACUGACAUACGGGUCAGACUCCUACGGGAGGCAGCAGUCGGGAAUUUUGGGCAAUGGGCGAAAGCCUGACCCAGCAACGCCGCGUGAAGGAUGAAAUCCCUCGGGAUGUAAACUUCGCAAGAACGGGAAGAAUAAGUAGGGGACAAUACCCCCUAUGAUGACGGUACCGUUUGUAAGCUCCGGCUAACUCCGUGCCAGCAGCCGCGGUAAUACGGGGGGAGCAAGCGUUGUUCGGAUUUACUGGGCGUAAAGGGCGCGUAGGCGGUCAGCACAAGUCAGUUGUGAAAUCUCCGAGCUUAACUCGGAAAGGUCAACUGAUGCUGUGCGACUAGAGUGCAGAAGGGGCAACUGGAAUUCUCGGUGUAGCGGUGAAAUGCGUAGAUAUCGAGAGGAACACCUGCGGCGAAGGCGGGUUGCUGGGCUGACACUGACGCUGAGGCGCGAAAGCUAGGGGAGCAAACGGGAUUAGAUACCCCGGUAGUCCUAGCCUUAAACGAUGAAUGCUUGGUGUCUGGGGUUAUAAAGUCCCCGGGUGCCGUCGCUAACGCUUUAAGCAUUCCGCCUGGGGAGUACGGUCGCAAGACUGAAACUCAAAGGAAUUGACGG